This 2872-nucleotide long non-coding RNA is filed under the name Homo sapiens (human). RNAcentral's name for it is "non-protein coding lnc-DSCAML1-1:4". The record is from RNAcentral. Lineage: Eukaryota; Metazoa; Chordata; Mammalia; Primates; Hominidae.
CCAUGCCCCCUUUGCUGUGAGUCCAAGGCCAUGGCCAUGCAGGGAGGCCUCUGGGACCUUCUGCACUCAGGAAGGAGCCCAACUUUCCUCUCCCUCCCUUCACUCAGAGGCCUCGAAGGCUGGAGGGAUUGUGGGAUUCUGGCACCACCUAGCGUCUGGCUUCCUCAUCUGGGCCUGCAAGCUUUUGAGGGAGGAGAGGGGAGAACUGGCAGGAGAACCAAGCUACAGGACCAGGAAAUGAACAGGGUGUGUUUGGGGGCCAGAGGCAGGAUAGACCUCACUCCACUUGGGAAUUAAGCUCUUUGUCUUAAUCCACUGCCCCCAGUCCCUGAUAACCACCAACUCUCCUAGAAACACAGAAGGCUUGAGCAGGGAAGGGUCCUUAGAGAGCAAAACAGACCGUCUUCAAUUUACAGAAGGGGAAACCGAGGCUCUAAGAGAGGCCGUGGCUUAUCCAGAGUGACAUGGCCAGCCUGAGUCGGAGCCAGAGGUAAACUGCAGGUCUCUGGCUCCCCUUCCAGAGCUCUUCCCACCACACGAACAUCCAAAGGACGGGAAGCGGUUGGUGGGGCAGGGAGGUGGACUACCCACUGACUGCCUGUGGGUUUGGAGAGUGAAGGGGAAACAGAGAAGGCCUGGGGUUGUGGGGAGAAACUCCAGAGGAGACCAGGAGCCAGGCAGGGGAAGGCCAGGUGACUUACAACUCAGCACCAAGUCCUUGUGACACCCCACUCCAAAUGUGGACUCAUUGGUGUAGGCCAAACCCUUAAAUGGAAUUCAGUUUUCUUUGCAGGAGAUAGAGGCACACACUUGAGCUCUCCCUCGAGGGUGGGAGAAAUGAACUUGAAUGGGGCAGGUCUAGCCAGGGGGGCUUUCAGGAGGAGGGAGGCUCCCAAAGCCUCUUGGAUGCAGCAGCAAGGCAAACAGGAAGAGGGGGUAUUCAGACCUGUGGCCCACCCCAGGAGAAGUAAGAGCACUGGAGAAGAAUCACGUUUCUAGAAUGUUCUAGAAUGUUCCAUACAGAGGACAAUCCAGCCUGCCACCCUCAGAGGGAAAUUCCACCUGCUCUGGAUGAGUCACUUCCCUUCGCUGACCCUGCCUCAAGGCCUCCCUCCUUGUGAAAUGUGAGGCUUUAUCAGGUCUGAACCUGAGGGGCUUUUCAAACCACCACGUACCCAGAUUUCCCCAGCCCGGUUGAAUAUGAGGUUUGGGGGGUGGCCUCUGCAGGCGGAGGCUUAACGAGCCCCAUGGCCCCAGGUGGUGUUCAGAGGCCUGGGACCUGCUUCCUAACCAGGACUCUUGUGAACAUUUCCCUUCUCUCUCCAGAAAGGUCACAUGGGCUGGCAGUUACUGAACUUUCACUUCACUUUGGGAUUUUCCACAAUUCAGACCUGCAUUGAGUCACAAAGAUCUACCAAGCCUAGGAAAUUAUUGGGUGAAUUACUCUUAAUCAGACAACUCCGACCAUGACAGUCUUCGUCUGAGGCCGCAAUUCCCUUUCUGACCACCAGAGGGAGCACGUGGCUUGCGCCGAAUCCCCUCCAGCUGUGUGUUUUCAACUCAAUCUUUCCAAGGGCCUUUGCCGGGAGGAGGGGCUCCUGGCUCCUGAAUGGUCCGCCCGGUGCCGUGAUUUCCUAGGAAAGCCCUCAGCUCUUCUCAUUCCGCUUGUUCACCCCCCAGUUUCCAUACCUUCCACCCCACUGCUCCCCAGAGAGAAAUGUGACAAUGAGCUUCAGCUCUGUCGAAUCCGGACUACAUGGAACCUCUCUGGGUUGGCUUCUCAACCGAUUUCAGAGUUGUGAGCUGAGAAAGAACAGCAGGAGAGAGGCCACAGUUAUUCAGGGGACUCCUGCCUUGCUGGGGGCUUCCGCAGCCCCUGACCAACCAUCCUGGUGUCACUGCUGAGACAGCAGCCUGAACAAGGGCAAUGGGACCCCAGAGACUGCAUCUGUACAGGCGGAGCCCCAGGGCUUUAGACCCUUUGCUCCAGUGAUCUUAGAGCCAUAAUAUUAUCAUCCAAAAUGAUGAGAGAGUAAGUGGCAAGCAUACCUAGACAUCUUCUGAGCCCAGCAGACAGAAUUUUGGUUUAAGGAGAACCUGGGUAGUAUAAUGACACAUAAUAUUUUUUUAUAUAUAGGCAUCACAGUCUAUGAAUUGUACUGAUUCAUCUCAUCUCAAGAAGAUGGUAUUUUAGAUGUAUGUGUAUAUAUUUGAAGCCAAAACUGUUUAUUUUGUGUAAUUUUUUGUGCCUAUUAGUUUCUGAAUAUCUGUGCAUAAAAGCUUCUGUUUCUCUGCCUGCACACAUUUGUGGGUACACACUAUACACCUAUGUGGGGUAGGAGGGGGGAAUGGGCAUAUUUGUUUGCAUUUACCUUGUGUUUGGUCCUAGGAAGGGAUCUUGGUGAUCAUUCCAGCCCAGCUCUUUCACCUCAAUGGUGAAGAAACUGAGGUCCAGAAAGGCAAGGUGACUUGUCACAGGUAACACAGCUGGCUAUGGAGACAGAGGUGACACAAGAACCUAGGAUUUCUGAUUUGUAGAUGAGAACUCUUUCUAUAAUAUUAAAAUCAAUUAUAAAUUUUGGGGAGGGAAGCAGGGAGAUCCUUGUUUUUUCCUCCCCCAACUGAUAAGUAAGUACUAAGAAGGUCAAUCUUGAAUUAGCUAUAUAAUACCAAAAGUUAAGUUUUUCACACAGACCUGGUUCAGUAUUGAUUCCUUUUAUGAAAACCCUGUUUAUACUCAAGUUGUCAAAGAAUUCCAGAGGGCAUAUGAAGCCAUUGUUAAAAUAAUUUUAUGCCUUUGUUUUUGAAGAAAAGUAUCCAAAAUAUAUAAGCUUAUUGUUUGAGUUAAACAAUAAAAACAUCUGCUGUUUCU